GGAACCCUAUACAAGAGAGGUCUCUCCACUCCCCUAUUAAGAUGCCUAGAGAAAUCAUAGGCUACUUGUGCUCUCUUAGAGGUACAUGAAGGAAUAUCCGUAAAACAUCUAGGAGUCGCUGCCUUAGUCAAAAAAGUCUUGAGAACGGGAUAUUUUUGGGCGACCAUAGUCCAGGACGCUAGAGAGUAUGUAAAGAAAUGUGGCCAAUUCAAGCGACAAAGAAAC
Molecule: long non-coding RNA, 225 nt
Filed under: Lathyrus oleraceus (garden pea)
Lineage: Eukaryota; Viridiplantae; Streptophyta; Magnoliopsida; Fabales; Fabaceae
Description: Pisum sativum (pea) long non-coding RNA (PSAT_LNC019747)
Source: RNAcentral